CUACGGGGCGCAGCAGUGGGGAAUAUUGCACAAUGGGCGCAAGCCUGAUGCAGCCAUGCCGCGUGUAUGAAGAAGGCCUUCGGGUUGUAAAGUACUUUCAGUCAGGAGGAAGGUGGAGUCGUGAAUAGCGGUUUUAUUUGACGUUACUGACAGAAGAAGCACCGGCUAACUCCGUGCCAGCAGCCGCGGUAAUACGGAGGGUGCGGCGUUAAUCGGAAUUACUGGGCGUAAAGCGCAUGCAGGUGGUUAAUUAAGUCAGAUGUGAAACCCCCGGGCUCAACCUGGGAAUGGCAUUUGAAACUGGUUGGCUAGAGUGCUGUAGAGGGGGGUAGAAUUUCAGGUGUAGCGGUGAAAUGCGUAGAGAUCUGAAGGAAUACCGGUGGCGAAGGCGGCCCCCUGGACAGACACUGACACUCAGAUGCGAAAGCGUGGGGAGCAAACAGGAUUAGAUACCCUAGUAGUC
This 463-nucleotide ribosomal RNA is filed under the name uncultured bacterium. RNAcentral's name for it is "partial 16S ribosomal RNA". It matches the Rfam family "Bacterial small subunit ribosomal RNA", at positions 339 to 795 of the family's 1533-position model. The record is from RNAcentral.